CGGCGCCGUGGGACGGCUUUCUCGAUCGGUUCGUCACCGAGUUGGUCGGCCGCCAGAACUGAAAUCGCGGGCGCCGCGCCCGCGACCCUGC
This 91-nucleotide transfer RNA is filed under the name Mycobacterium avium subsp. avium. RNAcentral describes it as "tRNA-Thr". Lineage: Bacteria; Bacillati; Actinomycetota; Actinomycetes; Mycobacteriales; Mycobacteriaceae. The record is from RNAcentral.